RNAcentral lists this non-coding RNA (79 nucleotides) under Acidovorax sp. RNAcentral's name for it is "SAH sequence". It matches the Rfam family "SAH (S-adenosyl-L-homocysteine) riboswitch aptamer". The record is from RNAcentral. Lineage: Bacteria; Pseudomonadati; Pseudomonadota; Betaproteobacteria; Burkholderiales; Comamonadaceae.
CAUCCGAGGAGCGUUGCAGCGUCCCCAGCACUGGCGGGGCGUGAGGCUCGGAGUCAUCUAGCAACGACGCUCAUCCACU